This 527-nucleotide ribosomal RNA is filed under the name uncultured Synergistaceae bacterium. Its description in RNAcentral is "bacterial SSU rRNA". It matches the Rfam family "Bacterial small subunit ribosomal RNA", at positions 96 to 655 of the family's 1533-position model. Lineage: Bacteria; Thermotogati; Synergistota; Synergistia; Synergistales; Synergistaceae. The record is from RNAcentral.
UGGCGGACGGGUGAGUAACGCGUGAGGAGCUGUCCUAUGCAGGGGGACAACAGUUGGAAACGACUGCUAAUACCCCAUAAGCCGAGAGGUAAAAGGAUUUAUCCGGCAGAGGAGGUACUCGCGUCCUAUCAGCUAGUAGGUGAGGUAACGGCUCACCUAGGCGAAGACGGGUAGCCGGCCUGAGAGGGCGAACGGCCACACUGGAACUGAGAUACGGUCCAGACUCCUACGGGAGGCAGCAGUGGGGAAUAUUGGGCAACGGGGGGAACCCUGACCCAGCGACGCCGCGUGGGUGAAGAAAUCCCUCGGGAUGUAAAGCCCUGUUGUAUGGGAAGAGCAGAAGACGGUACCAUACGAGGAAGCCCCGGCAAACUACGUGCCAGCAGCCGCGGUAAUACGUAGGGGGCAAGCGUUGUCCGGAAUUACUGGGCGUAAAGCGCACGCAGGCUGAAUUAUAAGUCGGUAGUAAAAGGCGGGGGCUCAACUUCCGUAUAUCUAUCGAUACUGUAAAUCUAGAGUAUGUGAGA